AACAGGGAUUGCCCUAGUAACGGCGAGUGAAGCGGCAACAGCUCAAAUUUGAAAUCUGGCUCUUUCAGAGUCCGAGUUGUAAUUUGCAGAGGGCGCUUUGGCUUUGGCAGCGGUCCAAGUUCCUUGGAACAGGACGUCACAGAGGGUGAGAAUCCCGUACGUGGUCGCUAGCUAUUGCCGUGUAAAGCCCCUUCGACGAGUCGAGUUGUUUGGGAAUGCAGCUCUAAAUGGGAGGUAAAUUUCUUCUAAAGCUAAAUAUUGGCCAGAGACCGAUAGCGCACAAGUAGAGUGAUCGAAAGAUGAAAAGCACUUUGGAAAGAGAGUCAAACAGCACGUGAAAUUGUUGAAAGGGAAGCGCUUGCAGCCAGACUUGCUUGCAGUUGCUCAUCCGGGCUUUUGCCCGGUGCACUCUUCUGCAGGCAGGCCAGCAUCAGUUUGGGCGGUGGGAUAAAGGUCUCUGUCACGUACCUUCCUUCGGGUUGGCCAUAUAGGGGAGACGUCAUACCACCAGCCUGGACUGAGGUCCGCGCAUCUGCUAGGAUGCUGGCGUAAUGGCUGUAAGCGGCCCGUCUUGAAACACGGACCAAGGAGUCUAACAUCUAUGCGAGUGUUUGGGUGUCAAGCCCGAGCGCGUAAUGAAAGUGAACGGAGGUGGGAACCCGCAAGGGUGCACCAUCGACCGAUCCUGAAGUUUACGGAAGGAUUUGAGUAAGAGCAUGGCUGUUGGGACCCGAAAGAUGGUGAACUAUGCUUGAAUAGGGUGAAGCCAGAGGAAACUCUGGUGGAGGCUCGCAGCGGUUCUGACGUGCAAAUCGAUCGUCAAAUUUGGGCAUAGGGGCGAAAGACUAAUCGAACU
RNAcentral lists this ribosomal RNA (856 nucleotides) under Curvularia perotidis. Its description in RNAcentral is "LSU rRNA". It matches the Rfam family "Eukaryotic large subunit ribosomal RNA", at positions 67 to 941 of the family's 3401-position model. The record is from RNAcentral. Lineage: Eukaryota; Fungi; Ascomycota; Dothideomycetes; Pleosporales; Pleosporaceae.